Long non-coding RNA from Sardina pilchardus (European sardine), 389 nucleotides. RefSeq lists it as uncharacterized. NCBI's taxonomy places the organism in Eukaryota, Metazoa, Chordata, Actinopteri, Clupeiformes, Clupeidae. The transcript has 3 exons. The record is from RefSeq and is a predicted model, not a curated record.
CUUCAACCACAAUUGAAGCAACAACUUCAACCACAAAUGAACCAACAACAACUACAAUCGAAAUAACAACCACAAUUGAGGCAAUAAUUUCAACCACAAAUGAACCAACAACCACAACCGAGGCAACAACAACCACAAUUGAGCCAACUACUUCAACCACAAAUGAACCAACAACUACAACCGAGGCAACAACAACAAUGGCACCAACAACCUCAAGUGAGCCUAAAUCAGCAGCCAUUGUUCAGUUCCGUACCGAUGAUACAUUUAUUUCUGAACUUUUGAAUUCCUCUUCGGUUGCCUUCAGAGAAAGAUCCUCACUUAUCAAAACAGAGCUAGAGCCAUUUUUCUUUGAAGACUACAAGCCAUAUUUCAUCAGCCUAACACCAACA